Molecule: ribosomal RNA, 468 nt
Filed under: uncultured bacterium
Lineage: Bacteria
Description: partial 16S ribosomal RNA
Rfam family: Bacterial small subunit ribosomal RNA
Source: RNAcentral
GACGAACGCUGGCGGCGUGCUUAACACAUGCAAGUCGAACGGAAAGGCCCUGCUUUUGUGGGGUGCUCGAGUGGCGAACGGGUGAGUAACACGUGAGUAACCUGCCCUUGACUUUGGGAUAACUUCAGGAAACUGGGGCUAAUACCGGAUAGGAGCUCCUGCUGCAUGGUGGGGGUUGGAAAGUUUCGGCGGUUGGGGAUGGACUCGCGGCUUAUCAGCUUGUUGGUGGGGUAGUGGCUUACCAAGGCUUUGACGGGUAGCCGGCCUGAGAGGGUGACCGGCCGCAUUGGGACUGAGAUACGGCCCAGACUCCUACGGGAGGCAGCAGUGGGGAAUAUUGCACAAUGGGCGGAAGCCUGAUGCAGCAACGCCGCGUGCGGGAUGACGGCCUUCGGGCUGUAAACCGCUUUCGCCUGUGACGAAGCGUGAGUGACGGUAAUGGGUAAAGAAGCACCGGCUAACUACGUG